GAUGAACGCUGGCGGCGUGCCUAAUACAUGCAAGUCGAGCGAACGGACGAGAAGCUUGCUUCUCUGAUGUUAGCGGCGGACGGGUGAGUAACACGUGGAUACCCUACCUAUAAGACUGGGAUAACUUCGGGAAACCGGAGCUAAUACCGGAUGAUAUUUUGAACCGCAUGGUUCAAAAGUGAAAGACGGUCUUGCUGUCACUUAUAGAUGGAUCUGCGCUGCAUUAGCUAGUUGGUACGGUAACGGCUUACCAAGGCAACGAUGCAUAGCCGACCUGAGAGGGUGAUCGGCCACACUGGAACUGAGACACGGUCCAGACUCCUACGGGAGGCAGCAGUAGGGAAUCUUCCGCAAUGGGCGAAAGCCUGACGGAGCAACGCCACGUGAGUUAUGAAGGUCUUCGGAUCGUAAAACUCUGUUAUUAGGGAAGAACAUAUGUGUAAGUAACUGUGCACAUCUUGACGGUACCUAAUCAGAAAGCCACGGCUAACUACGUG
Molecule: ribosomal RNA, 497 nt
Filed under: uncultured bacterium
Lineage: Bacteria
Description: partial 16S ribosomal RNA
Rfam family: Bacterial small subunit ribosomal RNA
Source: RNAcentral